UACGGGGGGCGCAAGCGUUGUUCGGAUUUACUGGGCGUAAAGGGCGCGUAGGCGGCCAGCACAGGUCAGUUGUGAAAUCUCCGAGCUUGACUCGGAAAGGUCAACUGAUACUGUGCGGCUAGAGUGCGGAAGGGGCAACUGGAAUUCUUGGUGUAGCGGUGAAAUGCGUAGAUAUCAAGAGGAACACCUGCGGCGAAGGCGGGUUGCUGGGCCGACACUGACGCUGAGGCGCGAAAGCCAGGGGAGCGAACGGG
Molecule: ribosomal RNA, 254 nt
Filed under: uncultured bacterium
Lineage: Bacteria
Description: partial 16S ribosomal RNA
Rfam family: Bacterial small subunit ribosomal RNA
Source: RNAcentral